Molecule: long non-coding RNA, 204 nt
Filed under: Brachypodium distachyon (stiff brome)
Lineage: Eukaryota; Viridiplantae; Streptophyta; Magnoliopsida; Poales; Poaceae
Description: long non-coding RNA (BDIS_LNC005809)
Source: RNAcentral
AGGACGACGAGGCACGGGCUCGCGGUGGAGGAGGAAGACGGUGCGGGCUCGGGCUCGGGGACGAGGAGGAGGUCGACGGCGGCGAAGGGCUCGAGGGCUCGGGGCAGCGGAGGAGGUCGAUGGUGCAGAGGAGAAGGAGGAGGUCGGCGGCGCGGAGGAGAAGGACGGCAGCGGCGGCACGGAGAUCCGGCAGGGCUUCGCCUG